UGCCAGCAGCCGCGGUAAUACGAAGGUCCCGAGCGUUGUUCGGAUUUACUGGGCGUAAAGAGUCUGUAGGCUGUAAAGUAAGUCAGGUGUGAAAUCCCGGGGCUCAACCCCGGAACUGCACCCGAUACUGCUUUACUGGAGUAUUGGAGGGGAAUCUGGAAUUCUCGGUGUAGCAGUGAAAUGCGUAGAUAUCGAGAGGAACACUAGUGGCGAAGGCGAGAUUCUGGACAAUUACUGACGCUGAGAGACGAAGGCCAGGGUAACGAAAAGGAUUAGAUA
Molecule: ribosomal RNA, 279 nt
Filed under: uncultured bacterium
Lineage: Bacteria
Description: partial 16S ribosomal RNA
Rfam family: Bacterial small subunit ribosomal RNA
Source: RNAcentral